Molecule: non-coding RNA, 148 nt
Filed under: Pan paniscus (pygmy chimpanzee)
Lineage: Eukaryota; Metazoa; Chordata; Mammalia; Primates; Hominidae
Also listed under: 1 other name
Source: Rfam by way of RNAcentral
GCUGGGUGUGGUGGCGUGUGCCUGUAGUCCCAGCUACUCGGGAGGCUGAGGCGGGAGAAUCGCUUGAACCCGGGAGGCGAGGGUUGCAGUGAGCUGAGAUGGCGCCACUGCACUCCAGCCUGGGUGACAGAGCGAGACUCCAUCUCAA